GAUGAACGCUGGCGGCGUGCCUAAUACAUGCAAGUCGAGCGAACAGACGAGGAGCUUGCUCCUCUGACGUUAGCGGCGGACGGGUGAGUAACACGUGGAUAACCUACCUAUAAGACUGGGAUAACUUCGGGAAACCGGAGCUAAUACCGGAUAAUAUAUUGAACCGCAUGGUUCAAUAGUGAAAGGCGGUUUUGCUGUCACUUAUAGAUGGAUCCGCGUCGCAUUAGCUAGUUGGUAAGGUAACGGCCUACCAAGGCAACGAUGCGUAGCCGACCUGAGAGGGUGAUCGGCCACACUGGAACUGAGACACGGUCCAGACUCCUACGGGAGGCAGCAGUAGGGAAUCUUCCGCAAUGGGCGAAAGCCUGACGGGGCAACGCGGCGUGAGUGAUGAAGGUCUUCGGAUCGUAAAACUCUGUUAUUAGGGAAGAACAAAUGUGUAAGUAACUAUGCACGUCUUGACGGUACCUAAUCAGAAAGCCACGGCUAACUACGUG
This 497-nucleotide ribosomal RNA is filed under the name uncultured bacterium. RNAcentral describes it as "partial 16S ribosomal RNA". It matches the Rfam family "Bacterial small subunit ribosomal RNA", at positions 28 to 507 of the family's 1533-position model. The record is from RNAcentral.